CCCUUAGAUGUUCUGGGCCGCACGCGCGCUACACUGAACAGUUCAACAAGUCUUAACCUUGGCCGAUAGGUCUGGGUAAUCUUUGAACGCUGUUCGUGAUUGGGAUAGACCUUUGCAAUUAUGGGUCUUCAACGAGGAAUUCCUAGUAAACGCAAGUCAUCAGCUUGCAUUGAUUACGUCCCUGCCCUUUGUACACACCGCCCGCCGCACCUACCGAUUGAAUGGUCCGGUGAAAUCUCGGGACGGCGGCUUGGUCGCUUGCGUCCGACUGCUGAAACUUGAUUAAACCAUAUCAUUUAGAGGAAGGUGAANUCGUAACA
This 320-nucleotide ribosomal RNA is filed under the name uncultured eukaryote. Its description in RNAcentral is "partial 18S ribosomal RNA". It matches the Rfam family "Eukaryotic small subunit ribosomal RNA", at positions 1470 to 1796 of the family's 1831-position model. The record is from RNAcentral.